Molecule: non-coding RNA, 176 nt
Filed under: Cellulosilyticum lentocellum
Lineage: Bacteria; Bacillati; Bacillota; Clostridia; Lachnospirales; Cellulosilyticaceae
Also listed under: 1 other name
Description: Clostridium lentocellum Lysine sequence
Rfam family: Lysine riboswitch aptamer
About the family: Riboswitches are metabolite binding domains within certain messenger RNAs that serve as precision sensors for their corresponding targets. Allosteric rearrangement of mRNA structure is mediated by ligand binding, and this results in modulation of gene expression. This family includes riboswitches that sense lysine in a number of genes involved in lysine metabolism, including lysC.
Source: RNAcentral
AGAGUAGAUAGAGGUUGCGGUUUUUAAGAGUAGAUUUGCUGAGCUAAGCACGAUGAAGCAUUUUAAAAGGAGAAGCCGCCGAAAUGGAUAGUUGAUGCUUUAAGACUAUCUUGUUGGGGUUAUGUAGAAUAUACAUAACACUGUCACGUAGUUAUUCGUGGGGAGCUAUCAUGACG